Poeciliopsis prolifica (blackstripe livebearer) is the source of this 2454-nucleotide RNA transcript. RefSeq lists it as uncharacterized. The transcript has 3 exons. The record is from RefSeq and is a predicted model, not a curated record. NCBI's taxonomy places the organism in Eukaryota, Metazoa, Chordata, Actinopteri, Cyprinodontiformes, Poeciliidae.
UUAGUCAGUGAAGAGUUCAAACAUUCCAGUCUCGUGUUCAAACAGACAAACUACGACGGAAAUGGAGAACAACUCAGAGAUCUUGAGGGAAAUGAAUACACAGCUGGAUAAGUUAAAUGAUUAUAUGAAUGAUAUAAGAUUCAUCUUGGAAGCUGGAAACAUAAUGGCUAGUGAAGAUGAUGUAGUUCAUGCAAUAAUCUGGAGAGCAGCAGAGGACAUUGAUAAACUGCACCAGCUGGACAUCACCGUGAUGGACGAGAAUUCAAUUACAAAAAUUGAAGUGUUAGAGACAUUAAUUGAAGAGGGCAAUUUAAGUUUAAAUUUGAGACUCAAUAGAGCACUGAAGGCCAAGCAAAAAUUAGAAAAGCUUGACGACCAGAUCAAAAAUGUACAGAAAGCGGUAAUGAAACUGAUGAAAGAUACUCAGACAGAGAGAGAAAAGGAGGAGAAGGACAUGACCAAAAAACCACAGAUGGAUGAAGAAAAGGAGAUGAAAAUAGAUAGAAAGUUGGACAAGUUAAUUGAUGGCAUCUUUGAAAUUAGGUUCAUUUUAAAAAAUCAACACAACAUGUCAGCUGAAAAUUUAGCACAAGGGCUUCAAAAUCACCAUUCAGAUGACAAUUUUCAUAUGGAAACUAUAAAUUCAAGACUAUGUAGAGCAUUGUAUUACAUACACAAGCUGCAGCAGCUGGACUCCAAAUUGAUAUAUAUGGACAAAGACAAAAUGAGAAAAAUUGAACUACUUCACAAAAUGUUGGAAGAGGCCAGUGUAAGUUUAAAACUUAGAAUUGAUAGAACAAUUGAAAUCAUAGACACAAUGCUGCAGCUGGAAAGUCAGAUAGACAAUUUAGGAAAAGAAGUGACGAUAGUCAAGAAAGAGUUGCAGAUGGCAAAACAGAAGGAGGUGAAGGAAAUCAACGAGGCAGAAAUGAAAGCAAAUCAAGACAAGAAAAAAGAAUCGAGCAAAUUCCUAAAGCAUGUGACUAUAGGAAUUGGAGCAGCUUUAGGGGCAGGUUUACUAAUUGCGGGCGGAAUUUGGAUCUGGAAAGCGUUUGGAAAAUGAACCUUGAUUAUAUUUAGAGAAAAGGCAAUUUAAACCACACCAGUUUGACAGUCUUGUUUACGACCAACCAGACAUCCUGCACCAGGUAGGGGCGGGCCCAGGUACUCCCAGGGGCCCGGCUGGGCCCUUGGAACCGUACCCUGGAGCCCCAAGUCCGAGAUCCAGGACCUCUGUAUUUUGAGUAUGGUCUUGGGGUACGCCCUGUUCCUCGGGUGCCAGGGAGCUGGCACCAGGCAGGGCGGGUCCAGGUACUCCCAGGGGCCCGGCAGAGCUGGAAGAGUGCAACCCGGAAGCGAAGGACGUCAUUCUGAACCUCAUAAAACAACAGAGAAAACUACAAGAGAAGCUAAAGGAACUGGAAGGACAUGGCAGGCGCUGCGACAUGAGGAUUUACAACGUAGCUGAGCAAGACGGUGAAUUAGUCCAAGAAAUGGUGGAGAAGCUAUUACAUCGUGAGCUAGCCAGAUCCAGAAGCCUCGGAAAGAAACCACCACCCGAAGCUAAUCCCAGAUCCAUAGUGGUUAAUUUUUUCAAAUACAAGACCAAAGAAGAAAUCCUGACAAAAGCAUGGAAAAGGAAAAUCCAAGUCGAGGGGAAGCGGAUAUUUUUUGACCAUGACUACCCCACCGAGGUAACAGAAAAACGCAAAUCCUACUCGGAGAUUAAAAAGGUUCUGAAAGACCAAAAGAUCCUCUUCCAGACCCCAAUGACUAAAAUACGGAUCCACUGGAUGGGAUCAAGACUUACAACAGCGCGGAGGAGGCUGCGGCGGACAUGAGGAGACGAGGGCUGGGGAAGGAGAACGGGAACGACGCAGGCCCCUCGCCCGAGGAGAGGAUCCAGGCGGAGGCACCCUGGCAGCGCAUCGGGAAGAGAAACAAGGGAUGGAAGAAGGAUCCUCCGCUGUGGGCGCGGAUCAGAACGCGAGGAGCCGAGCGAAGGAACGGCUACAGGUGUGGGGAGCAAACAAAGAAAACAAGACGGGUAGAGGGAAGAAUGGAAGUAAUAGUCAUCUGUCUCAAUCAUGGUUCUCCUGGGCUCCAUCUUUCACACUCGUCCUUCCCCAGCCCCCCAACCACAAUCGUUCUCAUCUCUCGAUUGUGAAGUAGGCGGAAACAGAAUCCCGUGCUUGACGGACAGCUCCUGAGUGCCGACAUCUCCUCGUGGUCGACCUUAUUGGUGGAUGUGCUUUGCAGAGAUGAGUGGCAGCUGGCUUUAUCUGGCUGCACUCUUCACCCUCAGAGUGUUUAAUGAAGGUGUGUGUUCAUGUAGAUUAAAGACCAGGCCAAUUUGAGCAAGCAUGAAAAGCAGACGCAGAAUUAAAAACCUCAAUCUUUAUAUAAGCUGCUGUCAAACUGAUUUAUAUCGGUUGAAAAAAAAACAUGUGUAAA